This 321-nucleotide ribosomal RNA is filed under the name Triticum aestivum (bread wheat). RNAcentral's name for it is "partial small subunit ribosomal RNA". The record is from RNAcentral. Lineage: Eukaryota; Viridiplantae; Streptophyta; Magnoliopsida; Poales; Poaceae.
AUGAUCUCCUCGUGCACUAGUUUCACGUUGCCUCUUAACAAACUUGUUGUGUCCGUCAAGGCCGCGUCCAAUGGCUCCAAAUCGAUUACCUUUCUCUCUGAUGUUUGGGUCCUUGUCGACGAUGUCCCUCCUGCCCUACGCUCCUCUGAGUUCUUGAUGGCUUUUGGCGUGCUGAUUGGCAAACCCAUUAUGGUUGACCUUAACUCCCUUCAGAUCCUUGGCCCUACUCGUCUCAGAGUUUGGUGUGUUGACCCCCUGUGUGUCCGUGGCGCUAUUGAUAUAUUCCCUUCUGUUGUCUAUGCGUCCGUGUUGAGGGCAUGA